GAAACCGAACUCCUCCUGGAUGUGACACCUGCCACCCCACUGAUCGCCAGGGUUGAGUUGGUUGAUCUGGCUGGCUGGCAGGUGUCCCCUUUCUCCCUCACUGCUCCAUGUGUGUUCUCCCCGAAGCCACACACUUGGUCGAAGGGGACGAUCCUCCCCAAUAGAGGAGGACCGUUCUUUGGUGAAGGGUACACGAGUAGCUCUGCUCCCUCUUAGAGCCUCCAAACAAGCUCUCAAGGAAAGUGAACUGCUCCUCGGGAGCUAUGCAUCGGCUGUUAUUU
RNAcentral lists this small nuclear RNA (281 nucleotides) under Sus scrofa (pig). RNAcentral describes it as "7SK RNA (ENSSSCG00070012549.1)". It matches the Rfam family "7SK RNA", at positions 1 to 287 of the family's 331-position model. From Rfam's summary of the family: 7SK was discovered as an abundant small nuclear RNA in the mid-70s but a possible function has only recently been suggested. Two independent studies have found that 7SK RNA binds the CDK9/cyclin T complex (known as elongation factor P-TEFb). The record is from RNAcentral. Lineage: Eukaryota; Metazoa; Chordata; Mammalia; Artiodactyla; Suidae.